UACGGAGGAUGCAAGCGUUAUCCGGAAUGAUUGGGCGUAAAGCGUCUGUAGGUGGUUUAUUAAGUCUACUGUUAAAGAUCAGGGCUUAACCCUGAGCCGGCAGUGGAAACUAAUAAGCUUGAGUACGGUAGGGGCAGAGGGAAUUCCCGGUGUAGCGGUGAAAUGCGUAGAUAUUGGGAGGAACACCAGUGGCGAAGGCGGCUACCUGGACCGGUUCUGACGCUGAGGCGCGAAAGCGUGGGUAGCAAACAGG
RNAcentral lists this ribosomal RNA (253 nucleotides) under uncultured bacterium. RNAcentral describes it as "partial 16S ribosomal RNA". It matches the Rfam family "Bacterial small subunit ribosomal RNA", at positions 524 to 776 of the family's 1533-position model. The record is from RNAcentral.